RNAcentral lists this ribosomal RNA (253 nucleotides) under uncultured bacterium. RNAcentral describes it as "partial 16S ribosomal RNA". It matches the Rfam family "Bacterial small subunit ribosomal RNA", at positions 524 to 776 of the family's 1533-position model. The record is from RNAcentral.
GACGAACCGUGCGAACGUUAUUCGGAUUCACUGGGCGUAAAGGGUGCGCAGGCGGCCGUGUGUGUGAGGCGUGAAAGCCCGGGGCUUAACCCCGGAAUUGCACCUCAAACUACACGGCUAGAGCAUUGGAGAGGGUAGCGGAAUUCACGGUGUAGCAGUGAAAUGCGUAGAUAUCGUGAGGAACACCAGAGGCGAAGGCGGCUACCUGGACAAUUGCUGACGCUCAGGCACGAAAGCGUGGGGAGCAAAAGGG